UACAGAGGGUGCAAGCGUUAAUCGGAAUUACUGGGCGUAAAGAGUGCGUAGGUGGAUAAAUAAGUCAUAUGUGAAAUCCCCGGGCUUAACCUGGGAAUUGCGUCUGAAACUGUUUGUCUAGAGUAUGGUAGAGGAUAGUGGAAUUUCCGGUGUAGCGGUGAAAUGCGUAGAUAUCGGAAGGAACACCAGUGGCGAAGGCGACUAUCUGGGCCAAUACUGACACUGAGGUACGAAAGCGUGGGUAGCGAACAGG
RNAcentral lists this ribosomal RNA (253 nucleotides) under uncultured bacterium. Its description in RNAcentral is "partial 16S ribosomal RNA". It matches the Rfam family "Bacterial small subunit ribosomal RNA", at positions 524 to 776 of the family's 1533-position model. The record is from RNAcentral.